RNAcentral lists this small RNA (60 nucleotides) under Homo sapiens (human). RNAcentral describes it as "nc003 non-coding RNA". Lineage: Eukaryota; Metazoa; Chordata; Mammalia; Primates; Hominidae. The record is from RNAcentral.
GAAAUGAUGAGGGUCAACAUUCUUCAUACCAAAGUGAAGACAUGAGAUCCAACUCUGAGC